RNAcentral lists this transfer RNA (71 nucleotides) under Bifidobacteriaceae bacterium. Its description in RNAcentral is "tRNA-Gly". It matches the Rfam family "tRNA". Rfam says of the family: Transfer RNA (tRNA) molecules are approximately 80 nucleotides in length. Their secondary structure includes four short double-helical elements and three loops (D, anti-codon, and T loops). The record is from RNAcentral. Lineage: Bacteria; Bacillati; Actinomycetota; Actinomycetes; Bifidobacteriales; Bifidobacteriaceae.
GCGGACGUAGCUCAAUGGUAGAGCCCUAGCCUUCCAAGCUAGCCACGCGGGUUCGAUUCCCGUCGUCCGCU